Molecule: ribosomal RNA, 328 nt
Filed under: uncultured eukaryote
Lineage: Eukaryota
Description: partial 18S ribosomal RNA
Rfam family: Eukaryotic small subunit ribosomal RNA
Source: RNAcentral
CCCUUAGAUGUUCUGGGCCGCACGCGCGCUACACUGAUGCAUUCAACGAGUUUCUUCCUGGUCCGAGAGGAAUGGAUAACCUUUUGAAAGUGCAUCGUGAUAGGGAUAGACUAUUGCAAUUAUUGGUCUUCAACGAGGAAUUCCUAGUAGACGUAGUUCAUCAGACUGCAUCGAUUACGUCCUUGCCCUUUGUACACACCGCCCGUCGCUCCUACCGAUUGAAUGAUCCGAUGAAUAUCAUGGAUUGAGGAUGCAAGCAGGUUCGCCUGUCUUCAUCUUCGAGAAGUGAAGUAAAUCUUAUCAUUUAGAGGAAGGAGAAGUCGUAACA